AACAGGGGGUGCAAACGUUGCUCGGAAUCAUUGGGCGUAAAGCGCACGUAGGCGGUUCGUUAUGUCGGAUGUGAAAGCCCUGGGCUCAACUCAGGAAGUGCACCCGAUACUGCGUGGCUCGAGUACCGGAGAGGUUGGUGGAAUUCUCGGUGUAGAGGUGAAAUUCGUAGAUAUCGAGAGGAACACCUGUGGCGAAGGCGGCCAACUGGACGAGUACUGACACUGAGACACGAAAGCGUGGGGAGCAAACAGG
This 253-nucleotide ribosomal RNA is filed under the name uncultured bacterium. RNAcentral's name for it is "partial 16S ribosomal RNA". It matches the Rfam family "Bacterial small subunit ribosomal RNA", at positions 524 to 776 of the family's 1533-position model. The record is from RNAcentral.